Non-coding RNA from Danio rerio (zebrafish), 74 nucleotides. The record is from Rfam. Lineage: Eukaryota; Metazoa; Chordata; Actinopteri; Cypriniformes; Danionidae.
GGCGCUGUUGCUUAGUUGGUCAAUGCUCCUGCCUAGUAAACAGGAGAUCCUGGGUUCAAAUCCCAGCAGUGCCU